GGCGGCCCGGCGCGGGGCUCUCAUAGUGCUGGAGGGCGUGGACCGCGCCGGGAAGAGCACGCAGAGCCGCAAGCUGGUGGAAGCGCUGUGCGCCGCGGGCCACCGCGCCGAACUGCUCCGGUUCCCGGAAAGAUCAACUGAAAUCGGCAAACUUCUGAGUUCCUACUUGCAAAAGAAAAGUGACGUGGAGGAUCACUCGGUGCACCUGCUUUUUUCUGCAAAUCGCUGGGAACAAGUGUAAAAACCAUUGCACACUGCUCCCUCUGCCCUUGCCACUUUCCUUCCUCCUGAGAUUCAGUGAACGCAGCACUCGAUUCUGAAUGACAGUGACAGUAGUGCUGGGCCUGAUGUUCUUCUGUUUAGCAGUCCUGUGGGCAGAGGUGGUGAAGCGCCCUAGUUCCCAAAGGGCGCUAAUGAAUGCUGUUUCGUCCUCCUGCUCCCCACACCCCAUAACUAAUAGACUUCAGUUUUUCGGGUUUUUUUAGACGGAGUUCCGCUCUGUCGCCAGGCAGAGGUGUGAUCUCGGCUCACUGCAACCUCCGCCUCCCAGGUUCAAGCGAUUCUCCUGCGUCAGCCUCCCGAGUAGCUGGGACUACAGGCGCGCCCCAGCAUGCUCAGCUAAUUUUUGCAAUUUUAAUUUACUUUAUUUUUAAAUUUAAUUUUUGUAUUUUUAGUAGAGACAGGGUUUCACCAUGUUGGCCAGGAUGGUCUCUCUUGACCUUGUGAUCCACUCGCCUCGGCCUCCCAAAGUUCUGGGAUUACGCAGGUGUGAGCCACCGUACCUGGCCCUUUUUUUUUUAUUUUUAAGACAAGGUAUUGCUCUGUGGCCCAGGCUGGAGUGCAGUGGCACCCGAUCAUGGCUCACUGCAGCCUCAACUUCCUAGGCUCAA
RNAcentral lists this long non-coding RNA (890 nucleotides) under Homo sapiens (human). RNAcentral describes it as "non-protein coding lnc-THAP4-2:2". Lineage: Eukaryota; Metazoa; Chordata; Mammalia; Primates; Hominidae. The record is from RNAcentral.